Molecule: ribosomal RNA, 253 nt
Filed under: uncultured bacterium
Lineage: Bacteria
Description: partial 16S ribosomal RNA
Rfam family: Bacterial small subunit ribosomal RNA
Source: RNAcentral
UACAGAGGGUGCAAGCGUUAAUCGGAUUUACCGGGCGUAAAGCGCGCGUAGGUGGCCAAUUAAGUCAAAUGUGAAAUCCCCGAGCUUAACUUGGGAAUUGCAUUCGAUACUGGUUGGCUAGAGUAUGGGAGAGGAUGGUAGAAUUCCAGGUGUAGCGGUGAAAUGCGUAGAGAUCUGGAGGAAUACCGAUGGCGAAGGCAGCCAUCUGGCCUAAUACUGACACUGAGGUGCGAAAGCAUGGGGAGCAAACAGG